UCUUAUCCUUCUAUCCCUCCUCUAGCAGUGUGCCCUAUGGUGUUAUUUCGUGGAACUAUGACGUUAUCGCCCUCUGGUGUUUCAUUGUGCACGUCAUCAUAUCUACCUCUCCCCUUUAUCGCUUGAGGCAGCCAAUCAACGUGCAGUGUCUGAAGAAAACUGAUGACCGCUUCACGCUGGAUUCGAGAGUUUGUAACUACCCACGAUGACUAUCAGCACAAUUCCUUCGUUACAGAUAAAAUUAAUUACGACUUGUUACUCACUAUAGAUAAAAUUCAAAGAAAGCAGAUUUCUUGCUCUCAACUCCUGGGUGAAUAAAGAUUAAAACAAAUGAGCAUUUUCAUAGAAACUACUAGAUAUGUACGUCUGUUGUUGUUGCAUGUGAUAUAAUCCAAUCAAUGUCAGCUAUACCAAACUUGUAAGUAAGCAAUAUCUAAUAAGUGCUAGACUGAAGUAAAAAUUAACCUAACAGUAAUAAAGUGAAUAAAUUAUCUAAAGCAAAAUUUUUUGUAAAGUAACUAAAAUGUGACUACUUUGUUUUCAAUUGGUAUUUCAGAUUUCAAAAUUUGAUAGAACCAAUAGGUGUGAGUCUAAUGAGUGUGUUUUCUCAUUACUCGUUUCUACUGCAUUUUCUCUCAUUAUGCAAAUGGGUUCUAAAUUUUAACUAAAUGUAUAGAUUUUUAUGUUUUGAUCUUGCUUUAACGGUGAUUUGAAAUACUUGUGUUUGCAAUCAUUUUGAAGAUAAAAUAGUUAUC
Molecule: long non-coding RNA, 755 nt
Organism: Limulus polyphemus (Atlantic horseshoe crab)
Lineage: Eukaryota; Metazoa; Arthropoda; Merostomata; Xiphosura; Limulidae
Exons: 2
Source: RefSeq, a predicted model, not a curated record